This is a small nucleolar RNA of Camelus dromedarius (Arabian camel), 145 nucleotides long. RefSeq annotates it as small nucleolar RNA SNORA48. The transcript has a single exon. NCBI's taxonomy places the organism in Eukaryota, Metazoa, Chordata, Mammalia, Artiodactyla, Camelidae. The record is from RefSeq and is a predicted model, not a curated record.
CCCCCCUGGCAAUGGGCAAAGAGACACCUGAUUGGUGGCAUUGCUCUUAUAUCAGUCAGGGGCAAAGAAGAUGUCCAGCCCUUUGUUCAUCCUAGCUUGAUGCCUGGACUGGUGGCCAGAGCUGUUUCAUGCCUGAGGAACAUAA